This 291-nucleotide unclassified non-coding RNA is filed under the name Melitaea cinxia (Glanville fritillary). Its description in RNAcentral is "misc RNA ENSMCXG00005014164.1". The record is from RNAcentral. Lineage: Eukaryota; Metazoa; Arthropoda; Insecta; Lepidoptera; Nymphalidae.
AUUGUGUUUGCUCGCAAACGAAAAAAAAACCGACUUCAAUUACAUCGACGAGUAAUACAACGUAGAUCGACGAAAAAAUAGUCAAGUAACUACGCGUUAUAAAAGAUUAUUCAAAAAGUAGUUCACAGAUCUCAAUAAAAUUUAUAUGUGACCACAUGACAAACAUCAGCUUUCGAUUAAAUUAAAAAUUAUUAAAAUCGGUACAUCCAGUAGAAAGUUAUGCGGUAUAAUACAACGUAGGUCGACGAAAAAAGCGUCAAGUAAAAACGCAUUAUAAGAUAUAACUCGAAA